GGUGGCUCAGUGGUAGAGUGCUUGCCUUGCAUGCAUGAGGCCCUGGGUUCACUUCCCCAGCACCA
RNAcentral lists this transfer RNA (65 nucleotides) under Dipodomys ordii (Ord's kangaroo rat). It matches the Rfam family "tRNA". Rfam says of the family: Transfer RNA (tRNA) molecules are approximately 80 nucleotides in length. Lineage: Eukaryota; Metazoa; Chordata; Mammalia; Rodentia; Heteromyidae. The record is from Rfam by way of RNAcentral.